Dermochelys coriacea (leatherback sea turtle) is the source of this 3372-nucleotide long non-coding RNA. RefSeq lists it as uncharacterized. Lineage: Eukaryota; Metazoa; Chordata; Testudines; Dermochelyidae. The transcript has 2 exons. The record is from RefSeq and is a predicted model, not a curated record.
UCUCCCACACAGUUGCUAAUAUUUGCAUAAUUCUUGGUUGCAUUUUGUGCCCCAAGUGUGGAAAUAUGCUGACUCAAACUACUCCUCUGAUUAAUUCCAGUGAAGUCCAACAAGGUCAUGCCAACGCUCUCUCUAAAAAGAUCCAGGGUUUCCUUCCGCUGGCAGCACUUCCCUCUGGAUGAUUAGAGGGGGUGGUGAGAGCAGAGAGCCCAGCACCUGUUCAGGCUUUGAGACAAGUGUUGCUCAGAGACACCGCUCGACUGUCCCUUGUUUUACGGGAUGUCGCUUGUUUGGUUUUUUGUCAAAUUACUCCAUGCAAAUUUGGUGUGUUCUCACGCUUAGCACUGAAAGUUAUUUGCGUUUGCCCUGUAGAAUCAUGAGACUGCUGGAGGUGGCAAUAGCUCCUUCUGUAAAGGAAGGUAUCCCUGCGGCGCUUUGAGGGUCCUGCAUGGAUACAUUUUCAUGUCUCUCUCAUUGGGUCUGUCAUUCACUUGUCCCACAUUUGCUUACACACAAGCAAGUUACCCUGCCAAGAGGACCAGCAGCACGACACCUCCCUAACCUGCUAUUUAUCCUUUACUUCAUUGUGUGUGACCAAUUCAUUUUUAAAAAAGCUUGAUGCUAACUUUCAUAGUCACAAAGCUACCCCAAGUAACUGGAGCUAUUUUAAAACAAGGGAAAUUGUGGUGUGUUUUUCUGAAUAUAUAGCUUUACAUGAUUGUGUGAAAAUGGAACAUCUUUACCAUAAUGUAUUCAAAAACAGGAGGAGGACAAUAGUUAACUGGUGGCCAGAUGCCAGAGAUCCCCUAAUCUGCUCUAAUUCAUGAGUUCAGCCCAUAGCCCACUGUUUCUGCCGGAGAAUCUCCGCUCUUCUGAUUUGGAAGCAGCAGCCGUCAGCCUCGUGCUUUACCUACAUGUUUCAAAACCACCAAAAAGUCAAACUCUGUUCUUUACAUCUUACAAUACCUAGCAGGGUUUACCCAGUGAUGGCUCCAUAAAGCGCCCUACGCGCCAGGGAUAGACAUAGGAGCAAUAGAAUGACCCUAACUCUCCCUUAAUUUCAAUAUCCAGAAAAUCUUCUCCAGGGAGAGAGAAUAGCCUAGGAACUAGUCUCCUCCUGCUUGUCGAGAAGAUCAGCCCCUCAAGCCUCACCCAGUAUCCUGGAGAGACCACACAGCUUCCGCAGGUCUCACUGCUCCCCACACCUACAGAGGCCACUACACAAGUUAAAGGCUGACUUAGUGCAGUCGGUUGUACAGUUGGGGGUGUAGACAGCCAGAGGACAGACUGAUAGCACAGGGCAGUUGGCACUGAGAUUUUGAGUCACUUGCAUUAGGGAAGCUCUUACAUGAUUCCAAACGGAGAUCAGGGCCCUAUUGUGCUUGGCACCGUACGGACAUAAUGGAAAGGCAGGUCCUGGCCCAAACAGCUUAUUUAGAAUCCAGCCUGCGUCAGCACUGACCAGAAGUCGUCGUCAGCAGUCUCUGAGCAAUGAGCUAACGAGAUCAGGUUGGUUCCUGAUGCAUGGAUGUCCACAAGAGUUAGUCUCUGGGACCCCAGAGGGGCAGGACAGAGCAGGGGGACUGUCGCUUUACCAUGUGCUUGGAUUAGGGUGGCUGCCGAUUUAAAGCUUUACGGCACUCCCAGCCACUCAUGGUAAACUGACCUGUGGGUGCAUACUAUACUGUAUUCAAGAGGGCAGCUGAGUUUAGCCUGCUCCUGCAGCAGUGCUGGGAAGGCCUAUAGUUCAUUGCCAGUGUUGCCUUCUUUCACGCCCUAUAAACAAGCCUGCACAUCAGCUUAUUCCCUUCUCAUCCCGACCCCUUGUUGUCGGACUCCUUGCCAUGGAGACAAGUCUGAAAUGGAAGGGAGUGAAGGGGCAGUAGUUUUUGUUCUGCAAACAAGUUGUGGGUGGGUGUAAAAUAUAUAUAAAAAGGCUCAGGGAACCUUCCCACAUUUUCAUCAGAAGGUAUUUUGCUCACCCCCUCAUCUGCCCCAUACCAAAUCUCCCCCCAUCCUUUUUAAUUCUUAAAAAGACAACCUUUCAACCUGCCUUAUGAUGUUAACAAAGCAGUAUUGGCAUACUCAGCUCUCAAGCGACCCUCCAGAAUCAAAGAACAACCUUGCAGACCAACUCUGUUACAGCAGCAAACUGGUAUGGGAGCAGAUUUCAAUGCUAAACUUCUAGAUGAAGCCUGUAAAAGAUAACUUCUCAUUGGUAAAUGUGCUGAUCAAUGGUAGCACGAUACUCUGAUGCAGAGAAAAAAAGUUUACUUCCAGACUCCACAGCUGCAACCCCCUGCCUUGUGUGGGAUAUGCCUCAUCUUUAUUACCCUGUUGGUUUUCACCCCAACAGCAGAGAGCACAUGGGUCCCUGUCUGAGCCUUGUUGCACAGUUAAGCAUAUUCACAUGAUACCUGAUGUAAAGAAUCUCGAAGCAGGAUUAUCUUACCUCACCCUGUUCACACAAGCCCAGGUAGCUUCCCUGGGCUAUGCAAGCGGCAGGGCCAGUGCGUCACGCUAGCAGUAGGGGCUCUCCAGCGUGUCUGCUGGCUUGACCUUCGUAUUGGCAAAGGUCACCUUUACCAAGCAGCAAAGCUUUACAGGCUGCAGAAUAUAGAGUUCUCCCUUUGUUACUGUUCCUAAAAAUGGCUGACCUCCUCCUGAGCACCUCCAAAGCUCACAUGCUAAUAUAAGGGACCUGGUGGAGAAGUAAAGGCUACCUAAGCACCAUAUAGAAACUAAGUCCUUUCAGGUGGGCUUAAGAAAAGGCUCUUUCCUCUUUUUCUAACCAAUCUAAGUCAACAUAGGGCUGACGUACAAAUGAAUGUUAACUUGUACAGAGCACUCUCCAUGCAAUCUCUAUACGCUAAUUCGGGAGUGGUCUGCAUGAGUCCAUUAGACGCAGCAUUGGGGGUAGAAGGGGUAGGGAGAGAUGGGUGGCUGGACACAUGUUAAACAUGUAAGAGAAAUGGGGAAGAAUACUUGGGGCCAGGUUCUGCACUUAGUUACACCAGUGUAAAUCCUGAAUGCCUCAGGAGUCAUACUGGUGUAAGAGCAGAAUCUGACCAGCCCUUUGUUUCCACACACACAGAUGAGACACUGACAAAGAUGUAGGUAGUUUUAUUAUAAACAGUAUUUAAUUCAAAUUGUACAGGGUGACAGAUGACCGACUGGACUGAUAUGUGAAAUCGGAACAAUAUUAAAAAAAAAAAAACCACAAAUGCAGUAGGUGCUUAACACACACACACACACACACACACACACACACCUGCCACUUUCUCCAAAACCUCCCCACCCCAUUGCAAUUCCUCAAAACAUAGCCACUACACACUCAGAUAGCAAAAGACCAGAUGUACAACUGCUGGUUAU